GAUAAACGCUGGCGGCGCACAUAAGACAUGCAAGUUGAACGGACUUAAUCGAAAUAUUUAUAUUUUGAAGCGGUUAGUGGCGGACUGGUGAGUAACGCGUAAGGAACCUGCCUAUUAGAGGGGAAUAACAGUGAGAAAUCAUUGCUAAUACCGCAUAUGCCAUAGAUAUCACAUGAUAACAGUGGGAAAGGAGCAAUCCGCUAAUAGAUGGCCUUGCGUCUGAUUAGAUAGUUGGUGGGGUAACGGCCUACCAAGUCGACGAUCAGUAGCCGGACUGAGAGGUUGAACGGCCACAUUGGGACUGAGAUACGGCCCAGACUCCUACGGGAGGCAGCAGUCGUGAAUAUUGCGCAAUGGAGGAAACUCUGACGCAGUGACGCCGCGUAUAGGAAGAAGGUUUUCGGAUUGUAAACUAUUGUCGUUAGGGAAGAGAAAGGACAGUACCUAAGGAGGAAGCUCCGGCUAACUACGUG
This 473-nucleotide ribosomal RNA is filed under the name uncultured bacterium. Its description in RNAcentral is "partial 16S ribosomal RNA". It matches the Rfam family "Bacterial small subunit ribosomal RNA", at positions 28 to 507 of the family's 1533-position model. The record is from RNAcentral.